Lepisosteus oculatus (spotted gar) is the source of this 5644-nucleotide non-coding RNA. The record is from RefSeq and is a predicted model, not a curated record. NCBI's taxonomy places the organism in Eukaryota, Metazoa, Chordata, Actinopteri, Semionotiformes, Lepisosteidae.
CACACGGGCACAGGACCAGCUCCGGCUGCGAGAGGAGAAGAGGAAAAAACACCACCAACAACAACAACAGGGGCUCGCCAUUUGCUUGGGAGGACUCUGCCAGGAUGACAAAGGAGGACACUGCCGAAGUGGGGGAUGCCCAACCUACCUUGGAGUUUCAGAGUCCCGUUUCGGAGAUAAGGAAAAGGCCCAUGGUCCACCCCUCAGCUCCGGCUCCUCUUCCAAAAGACUACGCUUUUACUUUCUUCGAUCCGAAUGACCCGGCCUGCCAGGAAAUCCUGUACGAUCCCCGGACCACGAUCCCCGAGCUGUUUGCCAUCAUCAGACAAUGGGUGCCACAGGUGCAGCACAAGAUUGACAUCAUUGGGAACGAGAUCUUGAAGAGGGGUUGUCAUGUCAAUGACAGAGAUGGGCUGACAGAUAUGACCCUGCUGCACUACACCUGCAAAGCUGGAGCUCAUGGAGUAGGUGAUCCUGCAGCAGCACUUCGGCUGUCAAACCAGCUGAUAGCCCUGGGAGCUGACGUGAGUCUUCGCAGCCGCUGGACCAACAUGAACGCGCUCCAUUAUGCAGCCUACUUCGAUGUGCCCGAGCUCAUUCGGAUCCUGCUUAAGGCAGCCAAGCCUAAAGAAUUGCUGGGGAACAAAAGACUUCAAAACAAGUUCAGGUUCCAAGCAGCAGCAGAAGAAGAUCCACUUAUGGUUUGUGCUUCACAGGAAGCUGAGGUUGAAAACAAAGAUGUAGUGCCGGAGGCUGCAACCAGAGGAAGCUCCAAUCUAUUGCAGAAACACCCGCCACCCUAUGCUCACGUGCUGAACUCCACAUGCAGCGAUUUCUACCAUGGCACAGCACUGCACAUUGCAGCUUCAAACCUGUGUCUGGGCGCGGUGAAGUGUCUUCUGGAGCACGGGGCGAACCCCACUGUCAGGAACAGCAAGGGCCAGGGCCCUGCGGACGUGGUGCCCGACCCCAUGGACAUGAGCCUGGACAAGGCAGAAGCAGCCAUGGUGGCCAAAGAGCUGAAGCAGCUUCUGCUGGACGCCGUGCCCCUGAGCUGCAACCUGCCCAGGGUCACCCUGCCGAACUAUGACAACAUCCCUGGGAACCUGAUGCUGACUUCCCUGGGGCUGAAGCUGGGGGAACGAGUCAUGCUCGAUGACACGAAGACUGGCACACUCCGUUUCUGUGGCACAACAGAGUUCGCCAGUGGACAGUGGGUCGGGGUGGAGCUGGACGAGCCGGAGGGCAAGAAUGACGGGAGUGUGGGUGGCGUGCGCUACUUCAUAUGUCCCCCAAAACUAGGUAUUUUUGCACCAGUAUCAAAAAUCACCAAAGCCCUGGAUCAGACCCCCUCGUCAGUCACCUCCACCCCAAAAACUCCCCGCAUGGACUUCUCACGAGUUACCAACAAGAACAAGAAGGAGAAGAAGGAGAAAGACAGAGAGAAAGCUCUGCGAAAGAAAUCUCUGUCAGUGGGGAGUUUGGACCCCGAUGGUGUGAAGAUCGAACUCGGCGAUCAGGUCCUAGUGGCUGGACAGAAACAGGGGAUCAUUCGCUUCUACGGAAAGACAGACUUUGCUCCAGGUUACUGGUUUGGUGUGGAGCUGGACAAGCCUACAGGAAAACACGAUGGGUCUGUGUUUGGGGUGCGAUAUUUCAACUGCCUGCCGAAGCAUGGCGUCUUUGCCCCCCCUUCCCGUGUGCAGAGGAUUGGUGGGCCCAAAGACUCACAGAGCGACAGUACACUUGUGAAGAAGGUGCACCAGGUCACUAUUUAUUCCAGUGUCCCAGCCCAAACGUAACUUUGCCGCAGUGAGGACACCCAAGGACAUCACUUCAGAGAGCUCUAUAUCCAGACUGCUGUUCUGUUGCUGGUUUCCCUGGAUGCUCCGUGCGGAGAUGCAGUCCUAACUGCUUGCUGUCCUCACAUCCAUAGGUCAACUGCUCUCUUCCUCUCAGCACCUCUUUCAUUUCCGCUUUUCUCUGAGAAACCAACCAGACUGCUGCCAUAAUUACUACAGUAGAGAAGAAAAUACCCAUGGUCGCAGUCCUAUAGCAAACCUAGUGCCUUGUACCUUAACUAACGUCCCGCAUCCCGUUUGUUACACUAACAAAAAAGACAAAAAACUCUAUACCUGUAUAUGAUGUUUUAGUUUUAUAAGUUACCUGUUCUUGACAUUUCCUCUCCAGUGUUGUCUCUUAAAGUCCUUGAUUGCAUAACAAUUUGCCAAAUUAAUUUAUGAUGUUGAAAAGCAAGCAGGACCCCAAAAAGUCUUACUCGAGGCCAUGUUGGGAGUACCAGGGUCUUACUGUCCCCAUCAUGUGCUGCUAUAUUUUUUUUUUUUGCUGCUAACUCUAUUUCACCUGUGUUUAUAAUUUUAUUCAGUUAUUCCACUUUCGCAUGUACAGUACGUGUUAGAGAAAUGUAUGGUGUAAAAUUAUCAUUUAAUAUUUAGGCUACAUUCAUGCUUUAUUAGUAUUUAUUUCUUUUUAUGCAUGUCCAAACACGGGGUGAUACCCCACUAACAAUAAUCAAUACAAAUUCUGUUAUUAGUACAGAUAUUAGCACAGGCUGAAAAAAAUGUGUAUGCAACAUCUCCAUUUAGCACCUGUUAGCCCAGGUUAGCAGACUGUGAGAGGGGAAGUCCCCUGGUGGGAGUUCUGUGCACCAUCUCCCUUCUUCCUAGCUGGGUGGUCUUCUCUCGGGUCUUAAGCCAAAAGUGUUAUACACAUGAGUCGGGGGAAUGGGAUAGUCCCUGUGCCGUUUCAAUCUGAGUGAAUGUGGCAGCUACCAUGACUGUAUUGGCAAACCGAUUAACUUAGCAAAGGAGACGUCCAUUUCCCAAAAUCAAACAUAUACUGUAUGUAACUGUCUCCUUGGAGACCAACCUGGACCACUGCCUAAUUUGCAAAGCAAGAAUGCCUUGGAGAUGGAGGCCCGUCACUCCAGGGCCCCAGACAACUAUCUUACUGCAUGAGAUCAGAAGCCGCCUUACUGCGCAAACAGAGCUACAUUUCGUUCAGAACAAUAUGAUCUAGAGUACAGAAAGGCAUUAGAGUGAAAAUCAGACAGUCAGUUGCUAGAAACGUAGCCUGUAGCCAGACCUAACGCUAGGCCACACUAGGCUGAUAAGAGGGAGGACUGAGAAAUUACUUUGUGGACUGAGUUAAGAUAGAAAUUCUGAGGGGCCAGACUGUACAAAUCCAGAGUGGAAUUUAUUUAGCCCUAGUCUUAUGAACAGUGCUAGGAGAUCUUUCAUGACCGAGUAGUCAGUGCCUUGGUUUAAGGUUGUAUUCAAAGAGCAGUACCUCCUACAGCACAGUGUUCCCCGUCAUCAAUCUAGGCCAUUUGUCCAGUGGAAGAGCACCACCUACUGGUCCACCCCAACACCACUCACGGCUGGAAUUGUAGUUGUAUAUAUAGAAAUUUCAGCCAACCUCAGUUCAUCUUCCUGUAUCAUGCUUACAUAUUUUGUCCAUAUAUGGCCAUACAAAUGCCACAAAAGCCAAAAAAAAAAUCAGACAAUGAACAUAACUUAAAAACAUCAAAUGUUUCAUCACCAAGGGUUUGCCUGAUAGCUCUUCCUUGGUUCUAACCACAGAUCACACUUAAUGGACUUCAGUUUCAAAAAGCUGAAAACAAAAACAUCUUAAAGACACCUUACUUACAGAAUCUAGUGGGCACAUGAUUAUGGAAAAUUACUAAUUUACAAAACAAGUCAAACUGCUUUCAAGCACGUUAAGGCACAGGAGUCGCAGUGGAGCUCAGGGCGAGGGCAGCAGGUUGGAAACGUGAGAGUUUCCUUCCAGUUUCCAAACACAACCAUAAUAUUACACGAAUACACGUCACUGAAAAACUGCACAGCGCUUUUCACCAUAAUACAAAGUCGAUUACUACUAAAAAUAGCUACCGUUAAAAAGAAAAAAAAACACAUGAAAUUGAAUCGGACUUGAUUUGAAAGUUUGUUUGUGUUUGUUUUUGCUUUCCUUCAUAACGAGAAGAUACAGAUAUACUUUCUUUUCACCUGAGCGGACGUUAGUCAACGGUAAGAAUAGUACCGCUGAAGUAACAUCUACUUUCACCGCCCAAGUGUUUUUUUUUUUUUGCGUGUCUCAGUAAACAGACUUCGCAGACUUGAAGUAACACACGCCUGAAAUUUAGGAAACUUAACACUUCAGAACAAAAUGUCGUGUCUUACCGCAAUAUUGUUAACUGCUACAGGAUACACGGAGGCUGGCGGCGCUGCUCUCCCGCAACGGCUAAACUGACAGCUUCGCGUAACACAGCCAAAACACAGAAACAGACAUCUCAACCCUCUGAAACCGCUUUUCUUCACACUACCUGAUAGGAGACUUUACGUUACUUCUUCUCCGAUAAAAGUGUUAAAAUCGAUCAACGUCCAGCCGUUAAAUUCCGUUUUUUCUCUCUCUCUCUCGCGCGACCAGACCCUGCCCCGCCUUCACACACGUGCGUGGAUUUUGCCUCGCGGAGUAGCCAAAUCCCCCUCGUGCCAAACGUCUGCCGGUUGACGUCACUCGGCCCCGCCCUCACAGCUCAGCCAAUGAUGAUUGACGAUUCCGUCACCGAAGUCCCACCACUUGUCGCGAGAACUAAAGUCGAGACGAGUAAACUAACGAGACAGUGAACGACCUGCUGCGCAGCUUGCUUAUCAUGCCGCAGUGAUGGGCGUUUGUGACUGUAGGAGAAAACAAUAUUGUUAACAAAACUAUUAACAUUUUUCAGUCCACUACCUUCAAAAGACCAGUGAACACGUUUUAGCCACGUUUCAUGUUGUUUAAUAUGCGGAGAGGAUAAACCCGCUAGUUGCAGCUAAGUGUGCGUCUCGCCGCGCUACCCCGCCGUGUUAAUUUUGCUGCCUGUGACCUACGGUUUCGUUACCCCGCUCGGAAGCCCCUGUAAAUCAUAAAACGAGCGCUUUGCGGGCUGCCGUUUUCAAUCCUUGCAUUUCACUGCAGUAGAAUCGAACGGAAAUAAGUGAACGGACGUUCAUGUAAAUAGAUCAUUUUUCUCUGCACUUCAAGUGGUUUGUCUUUCGGUUGUUCGUAUCCUAACUGCAGACAGCUUAGACUGCGCCGGAACUGACGAUACAAACAUGUAACACAAACUGUCGAUGCUUCUCCGUGUAUGUAGUGGAACACUCUCCUUGCGUUAUACAGCGACGACUGUAAGUCUUGUUCUGUUGAGGAGAUAGAAUAGACCUGUCUUUGUGCUCUGAAAGUGACUUCCGUUACCAUAAACCACCGUAACGUGUGCGGUAUCUGACUACCGUUUGCUUAGUCGGUUAUACGGACUUGAACUUUUAUUUUCUUUAGUGAAAUGUUUUAGCUGUUUCACAAAGUGUACUUUUUAUGUUAUUUUAUUAUCUCCAAGGAGAUGGCAGACUUCCAUGUUUGUUUUCUCAUUCUCAGCUCUCACUGUUAAAUAGACAGAUUGUGGGGAUUGUACAACCAAUACUGAUGUCUUUGACUUUAUUAAGGAAUUGUAAACUGUUGCAUGCUCUUUCAGCUUUUUUUUUAAAGAUUGUUUUAUUUUUAUUUUAAAAGUUGUAUUUUAGCAUGGAGAUAUUCAUUAAUACUAAUACCACUACUAUGACAAAUAAAAAUAAUUUGAUGUGUUUUAUAA